UACGUAGGGUGCAAGCGUUGUCCGGAAUUAUUGGGCGUAAAGAGCUCGUAGGCGGUUUGCCGCGUCUGCUGUGAAAACCCGAGGCUCAACCUCGGGCCUGCAGUGGGUACGGGCAGACUAGAGUGCGGUAGGGGAGAUUGGAAUUCCUGGUGUAGCGGUGGAAUGCGCAGAUAUCAGGAGGAACACCGGUGGCGAAGGCGGAUCUCUGGGCCAUUACUGACGCUGAGGAGCGAAAGCGUGGGGAGCGAACAGG
RNAcentral lists this ribosomal RNA (253 nucleotides) under uncultured bacterium. RNAcentral's name for it is "partial 16S ribosomal RNA". It matches the Rfam family "Bacterial small subunit ribosomal RNA", at positions 524 to 776 of the family's 1533-position model. The record is from RNAcentral.